This is a non-coding RNA of Oryctolagus cuniculus (rabbit), 1378 nucleotides long. The record is from RefSeq and is a predicted model, not a curated record. Lineage: Eukaryota; Metazoa; Chordata; Mammalia; Lagomorpha; Leporidae.
CGUUAACCCCGUCCCUGCCCGAGGCGGCCUGUUGUUUUCCGGAGGCAGAGCCGGGGUCCCGCCUCCAGCCCGCACACUCCUCCCUUUCCUUCCCUGGACUGGGCCCGGGUUAACCCCUUCCUUCCUGGAGCCCUUUCGCCCGCGCUUCCACCUGCGCCUUUCCGGGCCCCCAGCUGUCUCUAGGUCCUUUUAAACCUCUCAUUUCUUGACCUGUCCAGGUGGCUUUCAACGAAUCCCCUUUCUGCAAGAGAUGCCCGUUUCACUGGUUCUGAUGCCUGCCUGCUCUCCCUCCCCGGGGUCCUCUGGGUUCCGAGCGCAGAUGACAGCGCCCCGGACUGUGUAUGUGCGCCACACUGGGGACCGGCACGCAAGCCUAGGUGCGCAACCCAGCCGCCUCCAUGGAGGCCCGAGUGGCUCCGGGUAAAGUAGCGGUAGCCUUUCCCAUCGAAUAACACCGGAGUCAAAACCCUCGCGACCGGCGGCGGUGAAGACAGCAGCUGCCACCAGUGCGAUCUCCUUUUCCGUUUUCUAGUUUGAGAGGAGGAGAGACAGAUGCUAUGAAGACGAAAGUUUCUGUCACUUCUGUCAUUUUGCUGUCUGGAUGUAACUCCCUCUGGACUCUCUGCUGCACGUCGUGCCAUGUGAUCCCAGGCAGAUCACGCACGUGAACGGGCUCCUGACACACACCCUCUUCUGCACCCUGCUUCUUUUCCGUGUUGGGUGCCCCACAUCAGCCUCUGAUGGACCUCUGAGGACGGCACAGUCACUGUAGGAAAUAUGCCCUUACGUUUCGAACCAGUCUCCUCCUAAAAGGCAUGGGGGAGGUUUCCAAUGUUCUACCAGGAGUAAUAAUGCCCUCAGAUACCGCCAUGUAUCCGUCUCGGCAUACUUGUCUGUUCCCCCCUCCAGGUCUAUUACCAUGUGCUGGACCCAAGGGAACGGGCAUUUUAAAUUUUCAUGGAUAUUGACAAAUGCAUCUUCAAAAAGAAUCCACCCGCGUGUGCUCCAGCCAGGGCAUUUCUCUCCACCCCAUCAAUGGCAGACGGCGUUAUUCUUUUUAGUAUUUUCCGAUCUGAUAGGCAGCACAAAAUCUAGCUUCUGUUAUUUUUGUUUAUGAGUACGCUGAUCAUUUGCAUUUCGCCCUAUUACACUGCCUGUUUAUCCAUUUUGUCUCUAUAUAUUAGAAUCUGGAUCGGCACUUUGUCCUGAACUUUUCAACAGAGUGAACAUCAUUCACCCUUUUAGUUUCUUUACCAUCGCUUUUGUUAUAUACAGAUUUAAGUUCUCAUGGAGUCUCAUUUGUCAGGUUUUUUCCUCUGUGACUCCUGAGUUUAAUAACAGUUCACUCUCCCUGAAAUUAAAGAUCACUGUUCAACGA